Molecule: ribosomal RNA, 482 nt
Filed under: uncultured bacterium
Lineage: Bacteria
Description: partial 16S ribosomal RNA
Rfam family: Bacterial small subunit ribosomal RNA
Source: RNAcentral
AUUGAACGCUGGCGGCAUGCUUUACACAUGCAAGUCGAACGGUAACAGGCCGCAAGGUGCUGGCGAGUGGCGAACGGGUGAGUAAUGCAUCGGAACGUGCCCAGUCGUGGGGGAUAACUACUCGAAAGAGUAGCUAAUACCGCAUACGAUCUAUGGAUGAAAGCGGGGGACCGUAAGGCCUCGCGCGAUUGGAGCGGCCGAUGUCAGAUUAGGUAGUUGGUGGGGUAAAGGCUCACCAAGCCAACGAUCUGUAGCUGGUCUGAGAGGACGACCAGCCACACUGGGACUGAGACACGGCCCAGACUCCUACGGGAGGCAGCAGUGGGGAAUUUUGGACAAUGGGCGCAAGCCUGAUCCAGCAAUGCCGCGUGCAGGAAGAAGGCCUUCGGGUUGUAAACUGCUUUUGUACGGAACGAAACGGCUCUGGUUAAUACCCGGGGCUAAUGACGGUACCGUAAGAAUAAGCACCGGCUAACUACGCG